UUGCAUAUACUAACGGAUGCGAUCAUGCCAGCACUAAUGCACCGGAUCCCAUCAGAACUCCGCAGUCAAGCGUGCUUGGGCGAGAGUAGUACUAGGAUGGGUGACCUCCCGGGAAGUCCUCGUGUUGCAUCCCUCUUUUAUGUUUAACC
Molecule: ribosomal RNA, 149 nt
Filed under: Arabidopsis thaliana (thale cress)
Lineage: Eukaryota; Viridiplantae; Streptophyta; Magnoliopsida; Brassicales; Brassicaceae
Source: RNAcentral